This 431-nucleotide ribosomal RNA is filed under the name uncultured Anaerolineaceae bacterium. RNAcentral's name for it is "bacterial SSU rRNA". It matches the Rfam family "Bacterial small subunit ribosomal RNA", at positions 936 to 1382 of the family's 1533-position model. The record is from RNAcentral. Lineage: Bacteria; Bacillati; Chloroflexota; Anaerolineae; Anaerolineales; Anaerolineaceae.
AGCGUGUGGUUUAAUUCGAUGCUACACGAAGAACCUUACCAGGGUUUGACAUGCAAGUGGUAGGAAUCUGAAAAGGGACCGACCUUCGGGAGCUUGCACAGGUGCUGCAUGGCUGUCGUCAGCUCGUGUCGUGAGAUGUUCGGUUAAGUCCGCUAACGAGCGCAACCCUCACUGUGUGUUAUGUGUGUCACACGGGACUGCCGGUUUUAAGCCGGAGGAAGGUGGGGAUGACGUCAAGUCAGCAUGGCCUUUAUAUCCUGGGCUACACACACGCUACAAUGGUCGGUACAAUAGGUUGCCAAGCCGCGAGGCGGAGCCAAUCCACAAAGCCGGCCUCAGUUCAGAUUGUAGGCUGCAACUCGCCUGCAUGAAGAUGGAGUUGCUAGUAACCGCAGGUCAGCAAUACUGCGGUGAAUACGUUCCCGGGUCUU